GUGUUGUGUUCGAGUCACCUCCAGUCAGACCGUAUCAUAUGGUCUAGGUUGACUGGUAUAGUUUUAUUGCAUCUGUAUACUAUAUGUAUACAGUUGGCGUUGAGGAGGUGUCUCAAAUAGAGCUAAAGAGGGAUAGAGAGAGGAAGAGAUAUGCAAACCUGUUAGACUUGGCAAGAGAAAAGAAGAUAUUAAAAAAUAAUGAGGGUCGGAGAUGCAAGAACAUGUCUAACCAAGCCUUGGCUUCUCAAGCUCCAGUGUUUGGGUCCGCGCAGUCUGUCGUAACAGAAGUAUUAACACGUUCUAAAACAAGAGGGGUUAUCAAUGGGAUGAAUAGUGGUUCAAACAAUGUAGAGCAAGUGGACCAUGGAAUUUGGGAAUCAGAAGA
Molecule: long non-coding RNA, 385 nt
Organism: Setaria italica (foxtail millet)
Lineage: Eukaryota; Viridiplantae; Streptophyta; Magnoliopsida; Poales; Poaceae
Exons: 4
Source: RefSeq, a predicted model, not a curated record